RNAcentral lists this unclassified non-coding RNA (17 nucleotides) under Mus musculus (house mouse). RNAcentral describes it as "oocyte_clustered_small_RNA9294". Lineage: Eukaryota; Metazoa; Chordata; Mammalia; Rodentia; Muridae. The record is from RNAcentral.
UAGACACAUUAUCUGGG